UGCUGCCAAAAUGCUGCUGAUCCUGCGACGAAGAGACCUCGCCGGAAUCUCAUCCAAAGCUGGAUUCAUGCAUGCUCCUCCCUGAUCAUUGGCCAUCCCCUUUCACCGCAUGUUUCCAUUUUGGCUUUUUUUUUUAACAGGAAGUAAAAGCACAAGGUUAUCACAUUUAUCAAUUGUUGAGUGUUAGGUACCAACUACCCUUCCAAACAAUCUAUUUUCUUUGUUUUGUUAUGUUUCAUUGUGUUUUUGACAGAUUUUACAGAAGUGUGAAUUGAGGUUGAGAUGGGUGGGUUUGAUUGGAGCAAGUUAAUAUUUUAAAUACAUUGAUGAGUUGUGAAAAUGUCAAUUAGCCUCUUGUUUUUUUUUAAUUAGAAAAUGUAACAAGGAUGUUAUAAGGUAGGGUAGGACAUUUUUUGCAAUUCUCUUCCAAGUGGAUUUUCCUAGAUGAACAUCGACAAACAUUCAUCCAAGAAUAAGGUGAGCAACUAUCACUCUAAUUGUUUGGACAAUUGUUUGUCUUUCUAAAUUUUUAUUUCUUAACCAAAAUCCUAAUUUCAAUUCUAACUUCUAAUCUCCUAACCCUAAUCCCUAAAUUCAACUUACAAUUUCUAACUCAUAUAUUAUAUAGCUAUAAAUGAAAUAUAAUCAAGUGCAACUACUUCUUUGAAAUUUCAAAACAAAGUGUCAACAAGACACCAAAAUAUUAAAAAUAAAUUAAUAAAUAAAUAAUAUCAAGUCAUAACAAAUGAUCUAUGGCAUUUUACAAAGUCAUAUUUUACAAUAGUUUUGUAAGACCAAAAAUAUUGCAUCAGUUUUUAAAGUAUUUUUGAAAGUAAUUCCAGAAUAGCCAUUUCUACUUAAUUAAUAAGUUUACACAUUACAUUGUAAAUUGAUCCAAAUGUAAGAUUAGAAGUAACUUAUUAAACAAAAAACACGAAUUGCUUAUUAAAUACUCAAUUUUUAUAUAUAUAUAUAUUUAUAUAUUUAUUGUGAUAUUAAAUAGUAAAUUUGAACUCAUAAAUUUAUAAUUUUUUAUUUAAAAUAAUUUUUUAAUAAAAUAAUAUAUU
Molecule: long non-coding RNA, 1067 nt
Filed under: Physcomitrium patens
Lineage: Eukaryota; Viridiplantae; Streptophyta; Bryopsida; Funariales; Funariaceae
Description: long non-coding RNA (PPAT_LNC002349)
Source: RNAcentral